UGCAGGGACUUAAGCCGGGGGGGCGUGAAACAGGGCAUCUCAAAGUUUUUAAGUAAAGGAUUAUUUUUCUACUAUUUAUUGAACUUGACAUACGUGAACUCUGGAGGGAAAGGACAAGGAAGCCACUAUCAGCGUACCCACCCAUCCUCCUCCCCGUCCCGCUGUGGCGAGCAGGCGAUCUCUCUUGAGGAAUUCCGUUUCUCGUUUAGCUGACACCAGCGCCUGCCCCGGUCCCUCAGAUGGUUGGGGCAGGGGGUGGAAAGGAAAUGAAGAAAUCCUUCUCCGUCCUGUUUACAUUCAUUUUCUUCCCCACCACUCCUCGGCCACUCAGCGAUGCCAUCUCCUCGGGCAGCGAAACCCAGUGUGGCUUGUGGGUCGGAUUGGGGGUAGAGGUGAAGCCGCCCUCACCCCAAAAAUGGCAGAAGCAAGGUAAAGUUCGAAUUGGGACGGUGGCAGGAAGCAAGGUUAGGUGACUUCACUGGGAACCUGUAGGCACCUGCGACGAAACUAAUCGUAUUUAGACUGUGAGCUCAUUGGGCGCAGGGAUUGUCACUCUCUAUUGUUGUAUUGGACUUUCCCAAGUGCUUAGUACAGUGCUCUGCCCACAGUAAGCU
RNAcentral lists this long non-coding RNA (614 nucleotides) under Ornithorhynchus anatinus (platypus). RNAcentral describes it as "lncRNA (ENSOANG00000051047.1)". The record is from RNAcentral. Lineage: Eukaryota; Metazoa; Chordata; Mammalia; Monotremata; Ornithorhynchidae.